UCAAUUGCUCUUUUAAAAUCCCCUGCUAAACAACUUUAUUCAACCACUAUUACUAACAAUAACUGCAGUUAUAUUGAACCAUGUGAUUCCAAUACAACACUGAACCUUACUAAUGAAUUUCAUACUUGUAUUGAAUAUUCUGCAGAGAUUCAGCCAAUUGAUGACAUAUUGUACCUAUAUGAAACUAAUGGCAAUAAGGAUAAAAACCAAAAUUUAGUCCAACAAAUUCGUAAGUGGGCUGUGCAGUUUAAUGUAUCACAUGGUUGUGCAAAUGAAAUGUUAAAUAUUCUUAGGAACACAAAUUAAUAAUUAAAUUGUUGACGGCAACGACAAGAACGGAGCGAU
Molecule: long non-coding RNA, 345 nt
Organism: Rhopalosiphum padi (bird cherry-oat aphid)
Lineage: Eukaryota; Metazoa; Arthropoda; Insecta; Hemiptera; Aphididae
Exons: 2
Source: RefSeq, a predicted model, not a curated record